This is a long non-coding RNA of Ailuropoda melanoleuca (giant panda), 1193 nucleotides long. RefSeq lists it as uncharacterized. Lineage: Eukaryota; Metazoa; Chordata; Mammalia; Carnivora; Ursidae. The transcript has 6 exons. The record is from RefSeq and is a predicted model, not a curated record.
GCUUGCCUAGCGGAGCGCAGGCGGGGCUGGGGUCGGGGAGGCUGACCCCCAAACCCUUCCUUUCUUCUGGCUCUGAGAUCACCUAAGCUGUAGCCGGGCCGCCAUGACAGGCCCCACCGUGCCGGGAGGCCAGGGGCCAGGGGCUAGGUUUGCCCCAGUCCUUCCCCCCACGUGCCUCUUCUUCCUUCCACUCCUGCAGCCUUAGACGGGGCGCGGGGAAAGGGGUGGAUGAGGGAGCAGGGAGUACAAUCCAAGCAGUAUAGGAAACUACUGAGAUGUUUCAGAAUUCUUAGCAAGGCGUGAAUAAUCCUGAAGGUGUCGUGGGAAUUAGGAAAAAAUAUUAAUUUUCUUUAAAUAAGAGCAGCCCUCAUGUAGUGAAUCCCCACUCUGCCUUGUCCUAUUCCACCCUCGCAACAGCCUCACAAAUUAGAUGUUUACCCCAUUUAACAGAUAAGGAAAAUGGGACUCAAUAGCUUGUCCAACACAGCCUUCCCAAUCAGUGCAGUUGAGGUUCCAAUUCGGAAGAUCCCAUCUUAAAAACCCAGACUCUUUGAAAUAGUACAGUAGUGCCCCCUUCUGUGAUUUCGCUUUCCUCCAUUUCAGUUACCUGUGGUCAACCUCCCUCUGGAAUAGAUGACCUUCCUUUUGAGAUAUAGUCAGAAAGUAGGUUCCUCUCAACGCACACCUCAUUCACCUCACUUCAUCUCAUCAGGCUACUGAGAAGUAACCACUCAAUUGACGUCUCUCAUGGUGGCAUCACUCGUAUCACACAGGAUUUCUUUUGAACUUCUUGGUAUCAUAACCUUUAAGUAUUUUAUAAUGAGGAAGACAACAACCAUGAUCAUUUUGUCAUGCAAAGAAGUUCACUGGUUAUCUUGUUGAGGUACUUGAAACGGUUGUUGAAUUAAAAGUGUUUUGCCAGGACCUCUCAUUGCCUGAACCCGGGGAGAAGCCAGAAUGCAGGAGGACCCACUGAUGAAGUCUACAAAGACCCCAGUAAUAAAUCCACUAACUGUUGCCACAGAAGCCUGGACUCAAAGUCAACUGAUUUGGUUCCAGCCUAUGAUACAAGCAAAGCCUUGCAUUUCUCAUUUGAGAAUCCAGAAUGGAGUACUGUGUUGACACUACCCACCUGAAAUUAAAACAACAACAACAACAACAACAAAACACGAAAAGUUGCCACCAGGGGAAAG